Long non-coding RNA from Lolium rigidum, 680 nucleotides. RefSeq lists it as uncharacterized. The record is from RefSeq and is a predicted model, not a curated record. The transcript has 3 exons. NCBI's taxonomy places the organism in Eukaryota, Viridiplantae, Streptophyta, Magnoliopsida, Poales, Poaceae.
GGAGCCUAUUGUUGAUACUACAGGACAAGAAGGAAGUGAUGAUCAAGAAACAAGAAGAUUGAAGAAGCAGUUAGCACAAGAGUUUGAAACCAAGGACUUGGGCCAAUUAAGAUACUUUCUGGGAAUUGAGGUGUCUAGGAGUGCAAAAGACUGGGCUGGAUCACUGGAUGAUAGGAGAUCUACUUCAGGAUAUUGCACCUUUGUUGGAGGCAACCUGGUCACUUGGCGCAGCAAGAAGCAAAAUGUGGUGGCUAGAUCUACAGCUGAAGCAGAGUUAAGAUCUAUGGCACAUGGGGUAUGUGAAGUGCUAUGGUUGAAAAUUCUUUUAAUGGAGUUGGGGUUAUUUCAGUAUAAGCCAUUAUUAUUAUACUGUGAUAACAAGGCCGCUCUUGAUAUUGCUCACAAUCCAGUGCAACAUGGCCGAACGAAGCAUAUUGAGAUUGACCGACAUUUUAUCAAGGAAAAGCUAGAUCAUGGAAUUAUCUGCAUGCCAUAUGUGUGUUCUUCUGAUCAACUGGCUGAUAUCUUAACUAAAGCUCUACCAGAAAAAGUAUUUUCUAAUUUAUGUAGCAAGAUGGGGCUAUAUGAUGCAUUCACCCCAUCUUGAGGGGGAGUGUUGUAGGACCUAGUUGUAAAUAGGAACAUGUUAAGAGACUAAAGUGUAUAACUACAAGAUGUAU